CCAUUCUGAGGCUUGUUUGUUUGGUCGCUAGAGUACUAAAACAGGCUUAACAUCUUUGCAUUUUUCUCUUUUACCAGAUUUCCUCCCAUCUUAUUCCAGGACUACCUGACUCAACGCUACAAGGACACUCAUGCUGAUCUGAAAUUUACAAGAAACAGCAAGCUUGAAUAGUCAACCUUUGGAACUGAACAGCCUAGUGUUUUUUCACAAAAGCACUCACUUACACUGAUUUGGAUAUUUACCUUAAACAAGAAGCUUAGGAAGUUUUUUGCUUUUGGAGCUAAGUAGCCAGGAAAUUUUGAACUGCAUAUUGUUUUAGAGACAACAGCAUCAUAUGUUAAACAUGUUAUUUAGAUUUUGUUGGGAUAGUCCUGGGGAAAGGGUGGGAAGAUAGCUACAUGGUUUGGUAUUUAUUGCUACAGCUAAAAGAAAAACAUGAAUGAAAUCAAAAGCUCUUUCUUUCAAAAGUUACCUCCUAAAGCAUUAGAUGAAAAAGCAAAGAGAAGAAAAGCAUUUUUGUGGAAAGGUUAGAAGAUUUUACAUGUACAAUUUGAAAAAGGGUAAAAUUGGAAAUUUAUUUAUUUGAGAAUACAGGAAGAAAGUUAUGGAGGGGGCAGAAAAAAAAGCUGCCCAUGUUUAGGCCCAUCUGAGGUGUAUUGGGUUUGAAGGCCCGUAUCAUUUAAAAUUUGUAAAAUAUUUUUUUAAAUAUUUAUGGAUAUUCACUAAUAUACGUAAGCUUUAAAAUAUUUACAAUAGAUAAUGUUUUUUUAUUACAAAUCAAGUAAUAAGUAGAUAUUAUUGGUGUGUGCCUAUAUUCAACCAAACUAUUACCUUCAUAUUUUAGAUUAAAAAUAAUAUUAAUCUCUUAUGUAAAUUAUAUAAAUUGAAUUUAUGAUUCAUUUCUUAAUCACAAUUCAAAAACAUGAAAAUUACUAUCUAUAUAAAGUACUUGACUUAUGAUUAUUAUGAGUUAAUUAGUUAUACUCUCUUUUAAUUAGUAUUCGAUAGUACAAUUUACUUUCCAUUCUUUUUAAUUGAGAAAAACAAAGGACUCGUAACAUUUUUUUUAAUAAUGUUUUGAAAAUAAACUAUCUAUUAUUAUUUUAUUAUUUUAUAUAUUUAAAACGGAUUAAAAAAAUUAUUAAAAACUUUUUCUGAAAACAAAAUACAUUUCUUAAAGAAACACGUUUUCAUUAUAAAAAAGCUAGUCUUAUAAUGUGUAUUGGUUCAGUUAUUUGUCACUGUUUUUCCCUCUAUAGUUAGUAUACAUUGCAUCCCGUUAGGUAAAGCUGAUUAGAUACCACUGUCUAAUAAGGUAGUUAAAGUCUACUUAAAGGUACAUGCAAAAUUAUUAAAAUAAUCGUUUAUUUUAAUUGGGUGAGAAAUUAUAUAAGGCAUGUUCUACUAAUUUUUGUUACAAAAAGUCUUUUUAACAACUUUUUAAAAAUUUGUUCACAACACAUACAUGAUAAUUUGUGAUUAGUCCGUUUCAAAUAUUUUUUUUAAAUAUAUUUAAAUAGACCAAUAGAAUGGUAACACGUAUUCUGUUGUAAAAAAUUGUUAAAAUAUUAUUUUUUUAGUGUCAAUGAAAUAAGAAUUUAAAAGUAAACUGGUAACUCAUUUGACACAAUAUUCAAUAAUUAUUGUUGUUUAUUUAAUGAUAAAAAAAUUUCUUUCCCAAAAUUGUUUGGAUUCGUGAUUACAUACACCAAGUUAUUUAUUUAUUAUUACUCUUAUCAUUAUUUCAUUAAUAAAAGGAAUAAUAUAUUAUUGAUUUCAAUAAACCAUUUAAUAGAAAUUAAUUAUUCCUAUACCACAUUGGUUAUAAAUUAGACAAUCAACCAUUAAAUUAAUUAUAAAUUAGAUGGUUAAUUAUUAAUUAAAAGAUCAAACUAAAUUAUUGUGAAAACUAAACCAAUCAGUCAUUUAUCAAAAUAAUUAAACAAUGAUAAAUUUUAAAUCUUUGUUAAUUAUAAAUCAAUUUUAAAUUUAUUUUAAUAAUAUAAAUUUAUCUUUUUAUACACAAUAGCAAAAAAAUUGUGGCCACGUAAAUCAGAAAAAAUGAGUUAAUAAAAAAGGUACUUAAAGUGUCCAAAAAAGUGCAGCAUGUGUUGAUUGAUUUGAUAUGUGGCGUCCAUAUAGCCUCUCGUCACUGUUAUACGCAUGCAUGCCAUACCAAAUUUUAAACUAUUAUUUAAUUAAUGUUUUAAAUUACUAAGUUUUCUUGAAUGAUAAAUAAGUAUUUAGUACAAACUUUAUAUUAUAUUUUUCUAAUACAUGUUUUUCAUUUAUUCAAGAUAUAAAAUCUUGAAAAACUAUAGUUUGAGGUUUAAUCAUACAUAUUUAAAUGAGUAAAUAUUAAUCAAAUAAUAAUCUUGAGUUAUUUUGUUAAUCAUGAUAAAACUUAUUUACUUCGCUUAAAUAUAUUUUAUAAUAUAUUUGUUUCCACUUUUUUGCCACUUGCAUAUAAUAAAAAUGAAAAUAUAAAUUUAAAUAAAUAAUAGUAUUUCCGUUGUUUUCUAAAAGGACUAAUAAUAAUCAUAUUUUAUCUAUCACCUAUCACCCACUAUCUACACCUUUAGUCAAAUGUUUCCGCAACCAUAUAAAUAUAUAAACAAUGUAAAGAAAAAAACAUUAAAUAAAUAAAACUCUUCAUUUCAAUUUAAAUAACUAUAUAUAUAUGAUCUGGAUAAGGAUAAAAUACCAAACAUGGGAAGACAGAGCACACAAUUCUCUGCCCUCAACUGCAUCGACCUAUCCAACUCCGACAUCAACCAAUCCGUUCGUUUACUCAAACAGGUUUGCUCUUUUCCUCUGUUUCAUCUCUCUGUUUUUUUGUGAUCUUAUGUUGUUGUUUUGUUUCAGGCGUGCUUGGAUUCGGGUUUUUUCUACGUUGUCAACCAUGGCAUUAGCCAGGAAUUCAUGCACGAGGUUUUUGCACAGAGCAAGAAGUUUUUCUCUCUUCGCCUCGAGGAAAAGAUGAAGAUUCUCAGGAAUGAAAAACACAGGGGAUAUACCCCUGUUCUUGAUGAGCUUCUUGAUCCUGAAAAUCAACUUCUUGGUAUGUAUGCAGUACCCAUUUGGAUUUUUCUGCAUGUUUGCAUGGAUUCCACCACCCUGUUUUCUUAUUCUUCUUCUUCAUGAUUCUGAACGGAAAAGACUUAGACGGUUGCUUUUGGUGUUACUGUCUUGUCAGAAUUGAAGUUUUGCAUGUAUAAUCUAUAUUGAUAUUGAUGUUUGAUGCAAACAUUUGUCACGCAUUACCGAAAUAAAACGUCAAUUCUAAUUGGAAAUCAACACAAAAGAGUAUAGAAAGAACUGUAUCUUAGUUUUGAUCAAACCGAACAAAACAUAAGGUCAGUUAAUUACGUGCUUAUAGUGUUGCCUUUCUNCCAAAAUUGAAGCUUUGCAUAAAAGAUCUAUGUUGAUGUUUCAUGUANGCCUUUACUGUGCAAAGUAUUACAAUAAAUUCUAAUUGUAAAGCACUAGAAGUUUUGAAAUAACCAUGUACAAGGUUUUUGUCUUUCAAAACCUUAAUAACCUCUUCUCUGCUUGGAUAAAUAGGAGACUAUAAAGAGGGGUAUUAUAUUGGAGUUGAAAAAGCUGAAGAUGACCCAGAAUCGAAGAAGCCUUUCUAUGGUCAGAAUAGAUGGCCUUCACCAGGUAAAAGAGCCAAGUUUUCAGUCUUCGUGGCUUUUGGAGACAAAAUGUCUGUUUUCUACCAAUUGAGUCUUCCAACAUUUUGGAUUUUAUUUUCUUGAACUUUUUUCCUAUGCAGAUGUUUUGCCGGGGUGGAGGGAGACCAUGGAAAAGUUCCAUCGAGANACAUUGUACGUUUUACUGAUGGUUUUUUCGUUUAUUUUUGUCAUAAGAUACUAUCUCAGCUCAGCUAGUAUGUUUUUUGAUCAUCUGUGUUGCAUGUGAAACUAGUUAAUAGAUGAAGUAAGACUUUGAAUUGCAGUUAUGAUUUUGACAUUUUUUUAUAAUUCAGACAUGUGCUACCGGUGCAGUCACUCUACUGUCUUGAACAUUAUGUUUUGCUCGAAAUCAUGAUCAUUGACUGUUUUCUAAAACCCUGACAUGGAGCAGUGUUUGGUUUUCAUUUCAACAAAAAGAUUUCCAUUGUGUUUCUUGUUGGCUGUUCUUCCUCUCCCUGGUGGGAGGGGAUGAAUUUCUGACUUUUUUUAUUUUAUUCUAUUGUCAAUGUUAUUACUCCCUUCCCAUGAAGGAAGCUAUAGAUCAUGUUUAACUGCUUUGGUUGUUCAUAUGGACUCAAAUUCUGCAUUAGGAGAAAAGGGCUUCAAUUUUUUUAUAUUUUUUCUGUAGUAAUUUGUUCUGCCUGUUUUGUUGGGUAAUCCAGAGAAGUGGGGAAAGUUGUUGCAAAGAUAAUAGCCCUUGCACUUGAUUUGGAGGAAAAUUUUUUUGACCAGCCAAAAAUGUUCGGAGAGCCAAUUGCAACUCUGCGUUUGCUGCACUAUGAAGGUAUUGUAUGUGAUAUUCUUGGAAAGAAGUAUUGUAAUACUAAUGUAGAAAGUCACAAAUUCNGAACCAGUACCACGUGGUCACUGUGUCUGGUACAAUUGCAAAGAAAAAAAACUUACACGGUUGUAUUCAUCUACCUUCAAUGAAGGUCAAAUCUCAGACCCCUCGAAAGGAAUAUAUGGAGCUGGUGCUCAUACUGACUUUGGUUUUAUUACACUGUUGGCAACAGAUGAUGUUUCAGGCCUUCAAGUAAGAAAGCAAAUGAUAUUUUUUCUUCAAUAUUACAAAAAUUUGUGUGUUCUGAAGUUAGAGGAACAAUGUCUUUCAUUGUAGAUAUGCAAGAAUAGGGAUGCUAAACCUCAGAUAUGGGAGGAUGUGGCACCAUUGAAGGGGUUAGUCCAUAUGUCAUUGUAGCUUUUAUUUCUAUUUGCAUGCAACGCAGUUGUGAGAAUCCUUAUUUCUUCAUCCCUACGAUUUAUUUCAUGAGUUAAUUUCUAAACUUCUUCAGACACUCCCUUGUUCUUUCAAGAUUAUUUUAUCCUGGAUUUGUUUAUGUAGUCAGUUUUUGUCAUUCAUACAAAUCUAUUGAUGGGAUGAUGUGAGAAGCCAUACUAUUCAUUUGAUAGUAUCACUAGCACGCACAAAACAAUUCAUUCAUUGUAAAAUUACACUUAUCUGGACAACUGAUAUAUUUCUGAAAUUUUAGUUCUUUUUUAGCUGUAUUAUGCCAAUUACUAAGCAUAAUUGGCUGCAAAGACAAGAAGUAUAUAUGCUACUAGGUUUUAACUUUAUUACCUUUGUCAUGCCCUUCUGAAUUAUAUUACAUUAUCUGACAGACUGCUUAUAUUGCAGAGCCUUCAUUGUGAAUCUUGGUGACAUGCUNGAGCGCUGGAGCAACUGUGUUUUCAAGUAAGAAAUCUUUCCCACUUUUGAAUAUUUCUAAUUUUGAAUGAAGGCAGGCAUACUUCUGAGAUUAGAGAAAUUCAAAAGACAGAUAUUGAUUUCUGUUAUGAGCUACUGCUACUACUAUUCUCUAGAGAAAAUUGUAAGCUUCAGUAGAAGCUUAUACACAAGGAAUUUGUGAUUAGUAGUGCAUUUUUUUCUUUGAAUUUUUGUAAUAAACAAAUUACGUUGUAUUUAUGCUCAGGUCCACACUGCACAGAGUUCUAGGAAAUGGUCANGAAAGAUAUUCUGUAAGCCCCAGCUUUUUUUACUCUUUACCUUCUGUCAUUUAUAUUCAUAGCAAUAUCGGUAUUAAAUUGUUUAAUACAUAAUAUANUUAGCCUCCCUAAAGACCUCGAUAUUUAUUUUAUAUCUCAGUACUUAUCUGGUCAAAAUAUAAAUAGUAUUUCAAUAUUUAUCUUGUGGUCUUGUGGUUCUCCAUUAUCUUCUGCCAUCAUUGGAAUUCAUAAUGCUAAGGAAAAUUAUUGGCUACUGCUUACAGCCACCAGGAUUGACUUCUGUCACGGUCGUUGGUUUUUCCAGCACAGUCGGUCUUCCCCUUUUUUUAUUCAUUGAUAGCGACAAUAUGAACCACCACUAUGUUAUUAUAUUCCAAAAUUUGGUCUCUUUCUUGAUUAUGGAUCUAUGUAUAUCAUAUCAGUUUUAACUUGCAAAGCUUGGCAAAAUCAUGCAACAUGCUCAUCACUGUGCUGUUUACUUUUACAGAUUGCAUACUUCUUGGAGCCAAGUCAUGACUGUCUAGUAGAGUGCUUGCCAACCUGCAAAUCUGAUAGUAAUCCUCCUAAGUAAGUUAAACAUGCCAUCUAAAAAUUAGCAGCAUAGUGUAUGUUNGAAAGUUAAUCUCACAUUCAGAUUCCAUCCUUCCAUUCUGAGGCUUGUUUGUUUGGUCGCUAGAGUACUAAAACAGGCUUAACAUCUUUGCAUUUUUCUCUUUUACCAGAUUUCCUCCCAUCUUAUGCCAGGACUACCUGACUCAGCGCUACAAGGACACUCAUGCAGAUCUGAACAUUUACAAGAAACAGCAAGCUUGAAUAGUCGACCUUUGGAACUGAACAGCCUAGUGUUUUUUUCACAAAAACACUCACUUACACUGAUUUGGAUAUUUACCUUAAACAAGAAGCUUAGGAAGUUUGCUUUUGGAGCUGAGUAGCCAGGAAAUUUUGUACUGCAUUUAGAGAUAACAGCAUCAUAUGUUAAACAUGUUAUUUAGAUUUUGUUGGGAUGGUCCUGGGGAAGGGGUGGGGAGAUAGCUAUAUGGUUUGGUAUUUAUUGCUACAGCUAAAAGAAAAACAUGAAUGAAAUCAAGCGAUGUAUUUUUUUAUUCAGCCCAAUGCUGGGAAUAGGAUAUGAAGAAAAAAAAUUAGAAUUGUUUCUAGUCAAUAAAUAUACUUUGCAAACAAAAGUUUAUGUUUUACUGAACUUUGUUAUAGUGUUUGUAUUUCUCCAAAUGCUUUACACAAUCGUAUUCUUUUUAAGCAUCAAUGUUUUUUGUGGACGAGGUAGUACGAAAGUGCGAAUGUGUUGGUGAUAGAAUGUGAAAUGAUGUUGAAAUUGUGUGGGGUUCCAUUGAAAGAGGGAAAGAAACUGUUUUUUUUUUUUUUUUUU
RNAcentral lists this long non-coding RNA (7050 nucleotides) under Vigna radiata. RNAcentral's name for it is "long non-coding RNA (VRAD_LNC000164)". The record is from RNAcentral. Lineage: Eukaryota; Viridiplantae; Streptophyta; Magnoliopsida; Fabales; Fabaceae.